This 253-nucleotide ribosomal RNA is filed under the name uncultured bacterium. Its description in RNAcentral is "partial 16S ribosomal RNA". It matches the Rfam family "Bacterial small subunit ribosomal RNA", at positions 524 to 776 of the family's 1533-position model. The record is from RNAcentral.
UACGUAGGGGGCGAGCGUUGUCCGGAGUUACUGGGCUUAAAGGGCGCGUAGGCGGGUGCUCAAGUCCGGGGUGAAAUCCUCCAGCUCAACUGGAGAACUGCCUCGGAUACUGGGUGCCUCGAGUGUGGUAGGGGUGUGCGGAACUAUCGGUGGAGCGGUGAAAUGCGUUGAUAUCGAUAGGAACUCCGGUGGCGAAGGCGGCACACUGGACCACAACUGACGCUGAGGCGCGAAAGCCAGGGGAGCAAACGGG